RNAcentral lists this ribosomal RNA (378 nucleotides) under Wolbachia endosymbiont of Anopheles arabiensis. RNAcentral's name for it is "bacterial SSU rRNA". It matches the Rfam family "Bacterial small subunit ribosomal RNA", at positions 1040 to 1418 of the family's 1533-position model. Lineage: Bacteria; Pseudomonadati; Pseudomonadota; Alphaproteobacteria; Rickettsiales; Anaplasmataceae. The record is from RNAcentral.
GUUGCUGGCUGUCGUCAGCUCGUGUCGUGAGAUGUUGGGUUAAGUCCCGCAACGAGCGCAACCCUCAUCCUUAGUUGCCAUCAGGUAAUGCUGAGUACUUUAAGGAAACUGCCAGUGAUAAGCUGGAGGAAGGUGGGGAUGAUGUCAAGUCAUCAUGGCCUUUAUGGAGUGGGCUACACACGUGCUACAAUGGUGUCUACAAUGGGCUGCAAGGUGCGCAAGCCUAAGCUAAUCCCUAAAAGACAUCUCAGUUCGGAUUGUACUCUGCAACUCGAGUACAUGAAGUUGGAAUCGCUAGUAAUCGUGGAUCAGCAUGCCACGGUGAAUACGUUCUCGGGUCUUGUACACACUGCCCGUCACGCCAUGGGAAAUUGAAAA